UAGAUUUUUAUUUUAUUUAGAAUAGCUCAUUUACACUGAGCAGGUUUAGAAUCUUA
Molecule: transfer RNA, 56 nt
Filed under: Allodiplogaster sp. MY-2022
Lineage: Eukaryota; Metazoa; Nematoda; Chromadorea; Rhabditida; Diplogasteridae
Description: tRNA-Val
Source: RNAcentral